AGUCAGACUGUAAGUGGUGUUUUCAGUGGCGAAAGGUUGAGUAGUGCAUAAGAACUUGUCCUUAGGAGUAGAACAACAGCUGAAAACGGCUGCUAAUAUAAAUUGAGGAGCAAAAGGAGGAAUCUGCCCAAGGAGGGGCUCACGUCUAAUUAGCUAGUUGGUGAGGCAAUAGCUUACCAAGUCGAUGAUCAGUAGUUAGUGGGAGAGGAUGAUCAGCCACAUUAGGAUUGAGACACAACUUUGAGUUUGUAUAAAUACU
This 259-nucleotide non-coding RNA is filed under the name Punica granatum (pomegranate). RNAcentral describes it as "Bacterial small subunit ribosomal RNA". It matches the Rfam family "Bacterial small subunit ribosomal RNA", at positions 60 to 350 of the family's 1533-position model. The record is from Rfam by way of RNAcentral. Lineage: Eukaryota; Viridiplantae; Streptophyta; Magnoliopsida; Myrtales; Lythraceae.